UAGUCAUAUGCUUGUCUCAAAGAUUAAGCCUUGCAUGUCUAAGUAUAAGCAAUCUAUACGGUGAAACUGCGAAUGGCUCAUUAAAUCAGUUAUCGUUUAUUUGAUAGUACCUUACUACUUGGAUAACCGGGGUAAUUCUAGAGCUAAUACAUGCUAAAAACCCCGACUUCGGAAGGGGUGUAUUUAUUAAAUAAAAAACCAAUGCCCUUCGGGGCUCCUUGGUGAUUCAUAAUAACUUAACGAAUCGCAGGGCCUUGUGCCGGCGAUGGUUCAUUCAAAUUUCUGCCCUAUCAACUUUCGAUUGUAAGGUAGUGGCUUACAAUGGUUUCAACGGGUAACGGGAAAUUAGGGUUCUAUUCCGGAGAGGGAGCCUGAAAAACGGCUACCACAUCCAAGGAAGGCAGCAGGCGCGCAAAUUACCCAAUCCCGACACGGGGAGGUAGUGACAAUAAAUACUGAUACAGGGCUCUUUUGGGUCUUGUAAUUGGAAUGAGUACAAUUUAAAUCCCUUAACGAGGAACAAUU
RNAcentral lists this ribosomal RNA (525 nucleotides) under uncultured eukaryote. RNAcentral's name for it is "SSU rRNA". It matches the Rfam family "Eukaryotic small subunit ribosomal RNA", at positions 21 to 549 of the family's 1831-position model. The record is from RNAcentral.